Molecule: ribosomal RNA, 403 nt
Filed under: uncultured bacterium
Lineage: Bacteria
Description: partial 16S ribosomal RNA
Rfam family: Bacterial small subunit ribosomal RNA
Source: RNAcentral
GACGAACGCUGGCGGCGUGCCUAAUACAUGCAAGUCGAACGCAGUGGGGACGGGUGAGUAACACGUGGGUAACCUCCCAUCAGAGGGGAUAAACCUUGGAAACAGGUGCUAACACCAUACUGAUGGAUGGAACAGCGGUGCAUUAGCUAGUUGGUGAGGUAACGGCCAACCAAGGCCACGAGGCCUAGCCGACCUGAGAGGGUGACCGGCCACACUGGGACUGAGACACGGCCCAGACUCCUACGGGAGGCAGCAGUAGGGAAUCUUCGGCAAUGGACGAAAGUCUGACCGAGCAAUGCCGCGUGAGUGAAGAAGGUUUUCGGAUCGUAAAACUCUGUUGUUAGAGAAGCGGUAUCUAACCAGAAAGCCACGGCUAACUACGUGCCAGCAGCCGCGGUAAUAC